RNAcentral lists this long non-coding RNA (1925 nucleotides) under Homo sapiens (human). RNAcentral describes it as "HSALNT0107699". Lineage: Eukaryota; Metazoa; Chordata; Mammalia; Primates; Hominidae. The record is from RNAcentral.
AAAAAGAAAAGAAUGGGGAUGGGGCAGGAUGGUGCUAGCAUAUAUAAGACUGAAACACCAAAGUCCUCCGUGGAAGUUAAUGAAUUUCUGGUUAUGAGUUGGAUUCUUCAGCGGAGUAUUUGAGCCAUGCCUUGAGGCACAUACUUCAAGUUGCUGCAUCCAGUUUUAAACUCCAGAUUGAGCUUUACAUAUUAAAUGUGCACAUUUGUUUUCACAUUUUUGAGCUUUGCCAGUGGCACCCUCUCUAAUUAAUCAUCCCGCGGGCUUAGAAAACUUCUGCCCAAUCCUUUCUGAUUUGUUAAAAGAAAGAGAGAAGGUUUUAGUCUGAAAAAGGCCUUAUCUGAUAAACAUCACAUUAUAUGGAUUUUUACAUUUAAGUACAUUUUCUUUUUAAAUCCGGUGGCUUUCCCAAACUAGAAAGAUGGAGUGUUUGCAUACAUCCACCAACCACCAACAUCAGCAGAAAGAAAGCUUGAUACAGUAAAGGAAAGAAAUGGCAAUUUAACAGUUCUUUUAUUUUCCAUUCAGAUCACAUACACAUUAACCAAAUGAGGCCUCACAGCGUGGAAUCUGAUAUCAUAGCAAUGUUUUCAGGAAGCAAUAAUUGAAUACUCCUCAUUAAAAAGGUUCAUAAAAGAAUCCUAUUAAAACCAAUACGAAUAAUAAACCUUGAAAAUGCUGCUUUAAAUUCCAAGAGGAUGGCGAAGAUCUGCGUCAGUAACAGUCUUCCUGUUCAUAGAGUGAUUUUGAAAAUCUCGUGGGCUGAAUUUUUCCAAGCCAAGCAGGCAUCUCACUAUCCAGUGAAAGACCCAGGGACUAUUUUGAAUGCAUUCAAUCCAAGCCUGUGCCUUUCACAGUCAGUUUUCUCCAAGAAUUUAUCCCUAAUCCUGACAGGAUACCCAACCAAAAGGCUAAUUAUUUUUAGUCACUUAAUUAAUAGAUAAUUCUUACAAAGAGCCCAACACCUGAACCCACCAAGUCCUCUUUGCAUGGGCAAAUCCAGCUGGUUUGAUGCACUAAUUUCACUAAAUGAAAAUUUGGACAAAUUUUAUGUUACUGCAAAUAAUGGUAAAUGUAUCCAAUUCAAAAAAUAGUAAUAAAAAGGUUAUUUUUUUGUUCCCUUUUUAAUCACAGAGGCAGCUGUGGUAGACCCCAAAUGCACAGGGCAUAUGGCUCACCUCACCACCCCAGAUGGUGCUACUGGCCCAGCCUUCCCAGCGUCCACCCUGGCAGUCUUUCCUCAUUCCCUUGGCCCUCACCCUGUCUCCUCAGCCUUCCAGCUGCACUGCUAUUGUAGGCUGCUCUUUCUCGACAAUCUCCUCUUAUUUUCUGUGAUGUCUCAGGAUGUUUCUUCUUCUCAGGGGUUUUCCAAGCUUCUUCCACACUCAGGUGCUCAGACGUUUUUAUGGUCUGGCUUCUGAAGGAGAUCAAAAUUCAUAUGGACAGGCAUUUGUGUAUUAGCCAAGAGUUGCUAAUGCAUUUCUUGAUCAUAAGUCUCAGAGAAAUGGGAUGAAAGAUCUUAGAUUUUUAUACACUCUGCUUCAAUGAUUUCUCAGCUUUUCUGAUCUGAAAAGAAUAAAGGACACCUUUUAGCUAAGCACUUUCUGUUUUAUUUCUUAUAAUGCCAUGUAGUGGCUGUUACUGCCAACACAGCAGUCAUUUAAUAAACCCUGAAUGUCUGUAGCAUUUCUUCUCAUUCGUUUCAGUGAGUGCUGUUCUUUUCUGUGUUUAUUUUUAAUUUUUUUUUUCCAUGCAGUAUUUCUUGCACCCUCUUAUUACUCCUCAGCCUUUGGAUUCUAGAUCAGUGGUUCUCAAACUGCCUGCAUCAGAACACCUGAAGGGCUUGUACAACACAGAUUGCUGGAUCUCAUUCCCAGAGUUUAUUAAUUGUUAGGUCCAGGUGGGCCAGGGAAUUUGCAUUUCUA